UACGGAGGAUCCAAGCGUUAUCCGGAAUCAUUGGGUUUAAAGGGUCCGUAGGCGGUUUAGUAAGUCAGUGGUGAAAGCCCAUCGCUCAACGGUGGAACGGCCAUUGAUACUGCUGAACUUGAAUUAUUAGGAAGUAACUAGAAUAUGUAGUGUAGCGGUGAAAUGCUUAGAGAUUACAUGGAAUACCAAUUGCGAAGGCAGGUUACUACUAAUGGACUGACGCUGAUGGACGAAAGCGUGGGUAGCGAACAGG
RNAcentral lists this ribosomal RNA (253 nucleotides) under uncultured bacterium. Its description in RNAcentral is "partial 16S ribosomal RNA". It matches the Rfam family "Bacterial small subunit ribosomal RNA", at positions 524 to 776 of the family's 1533-position model. The record is from RNAcentral.